CUGAUGCCUACUGAAGGGGUAAAAUACUAAUAAGAUUGUUUGUUCUGAUUUUGCAAUUUUUUUAAAUUAUUUUUGUGUGAACAGAUAAGCAUUAUCACAUCCCUACACCACACAAACAGAUUAAAUCAAAAUCUCAGUGGUCUUCUAACAGCAAGUAGGGCUUUGAAAAAGAAAGUGCUAUCAAGGCAGUAUUAUAGAUAGGUAACUAGCUGCAGGGAGGUUCACAAGGGGAAAGGACCAUACUCUCUGUGGCAUUCCCCUUUCCUACACACAUGCACAUCCUUUUUGUCCUCCAUUCCUUCUGCAUAUGCACAUACAUACACAUACAUCCCUCUUCCAUUCCCUCCAGGAAACCCCAAACCCUAAAAUGAUACCACAGAUCCUUAUCAACUUCAGCAUAGUCAAGUUGAGGAAGAAUUCCAGACGAGUUUCAGAGGAAAUGUGGCUACAGAGGCCAUUUCUAAGGAGACCAGAGAGCCAUGAAAAAACAUAAGGUGUUUUCAUGACUGAAAAUCUUUUGCAUCAUUUCAUUAAGAGAAACCUCUUCUGCAUCUAAGGGCAUAAUUUAAUAGACAUUCCAUGAUGAGAACCAUGUGAUAUUCCCAGUCAUACAGAUAAAAGUAUUCUACAAUGAAAGAGCGCUAAAUAUAGUGCAAUCCUUUCUUCAUCUAAAUCAAAAAGCUUAGAAUAAUAUACUUGAAAUUCUAAACAGUUUUUCCCAUUUCCUUAGAAAUGUUCGCUAUACUAAAAAAAGUUAUUGUUGACAAUAUACCAAUUCAGAUUCCAUUUUAAGACUUAAUAAACUAAUUUUGAAUGAAUGAAUUUUGAAUGAAUUAUUUACAAAUAGGUCGUGGAUCUCCGUGGAAAUGCUCUGACAACCCUUCUACCACAGAUACUAAUCAAUUUGAACAUAUUUCAACUUGGAGUGAAUUCAUCAAAUAAUCCCCGGAUAUGUAACUGCAGACUAAAUGCUUUCAAACAUUUAAUUCGUUUUGACUCAAUAAGGAAAAAAUGGAAUAUUUCAUACAAUAAAUCUGCCAACAUCUCACAAAAACCUCUCCUGCCUCUUUCAAGUUUCCAUUUAAACUGCAAUGACAGUGUUUCAAUUAAAACAACUGUAAUCCCAACAGGAAAGACGUCUGUGCUAAACUGUGACUUGGAUAACACAAGGGGUAAUGGGGUCUCUUGGUGGACACCUACUGGCAGAAUUUCAAAAGAUAUUAGUCUUCCUCACAUGACACUGGA
RNAcentral lists this long non-coding RNA (1245 nucleotides) under Apteryx owenii (little spotted kiwi). RNAcentral's name for it is "lncRNA (ENSAOWG00000008796.1)". Lineage: Eukaryota; Metazoa; Chordata; Aves; Apterygiformes; Apterygidae. The record is from RNAcentral.